UAAGCAGGUCAAAUAAUUAGGUCAAGGAUCCGGAAGAAAUAUUGAAUUACUUGCAAACCGGAUUAAACCAGCGAGGGACAAUUUGGUCAAUUCACCCCUAGAACUGACUCCUGACCUAACUGUCCAAUAAAAUCGGAGAAACAAAAAUUUCGGGAUCGAGAACUAGAUUAAAGAACUAAUAAAAAAAAUAAAUGCAAAAGAAAAAGAAAUUGAAAAAAAAGUUUAUUACAUCACUAUGAUGAGCUCAUAUGUGACAUUAUAAAUAAUUUUAUUUUUCUACAAAUAUUGACCAAGUCAAAAUUCAUUUAAAUAAGACAUAAAAUCAUUAAACAAUUAAAAAGCAAAGACUUUCUUCUUCCUCCAAUUUUUGGCCGAAUUCUCUCCAUAGUCCACCAUUGCCCAACCUCCAUUAACAAGCUUUUAAAGCUUGAAAAACUUAAUUCUUCCCCAUAAAUUUCAACCCUAAACCCUAAAAAGCUUCCAAUCUACACUAGAAAAGAAGAUUGAGGGAGAAGAAGAAAGAAGAAAGUGAAAGAAUUGGUGGAUUGUAAAUCAAAGAAUUAAGGUUAGUGUUCUUCUUCAUUUUCUCUUUGAAUAUAUGUUUAAGUAGUUAAGUUAUGCUUGUAAAUAAACUUAAAAUGGAAAGAAAAUUUGUUGAGGGAUUAUAUAGAAUGUUGGAUAGCUAGGGUUUGGUUGGACAAAGUAUAAAUUUGUUUGAGCCAAACAUGUUGGAAGCUUAAUUGAGUUAAGGGAGUAUGCUUAUAAGUGUUUAAUGACAUGAAUUAGGGUUUUGAACUUAGGGUUUGUGAACCAAAAAUGCAAGAAAUGAGUAAAUGGCAUGUUUGACCUAUUGUGAAGUGAAAAAUGGUCAAUUGUGACCAAAUAAGUUGUGUUUGAAUUAUUAGAAGUGAAGCCAAAUUCGGAGGUUGUAUGCAGCAUGACCAAGUCAACUUUGAAGGACCAAAACAAAAAUUUUACAAGUCCAAUUGAUA
RNAcentral lists this unclassified non-coding RNA (992 nucleotides) under Hevea brasiliensis (rubber tree). Lineage: Eukaryota; Viridiplantae; Streptophyta; Magnoliopsida; Malpighiales; Euphorbiaceae. The record is from RNAcentral.